RNAcentral lists this ribosomal RNA (581 nucleotides) under Melampsora occidentalis. RNAcentral describes it as "eukaryotic LSU rRNA". It matches the Rfam family "Eukaryotic large subunit ribosomal RNA", at positions 272 to 846 of the family's 3401-position model. The record is from RNAcentral. Lineage: Eukaryota; Fungi; Basidiomycota; Pucciniomycetes; Pucciniales; Melampsoraceae.
GUUUGGGAAUGCAGCUCAAAGUGGGUGGUAAAUUCCAUCUAAGGCUAAAUAUAAGUGAGAGACCGAUAGCAAACAAGUACCGUGAGGGAAAGAUGAAAAGAACUUUGAAAAUAGAGUUAACAGUACGUGAAAUUGCUGAAAGGGAAACGUUUGAAGUUAGUAUUGUAUUCGUUGGAUCAGCUUCGCAAGAGGUCUAUUCCGAUGAUAAGCAAGUCAACAUCAGUCUAUGAGUGUUGGAAAAAGGGCUCGAGAAUGUAGCAAUUUAAUUGUGUUAUAGCUUGGGACUUUGAAUACAACGCUCUUGAUUGAGGAACGCGUAGUAAGCUUUGAGCGGGUUCGAAAGAGCCUCCUUACUAUGGAUGUUGGUGAAAUAACUUUAAGCGACCCGUCUUGAAACACGGACCAAGGAGUCUAACAUGCUUGCGAGUAUUAGGGCGUUGAAACCCGAAUGCGUAAUGAAAGUGAUUUCAGAUGUGAUCCGCAAGGUGCAACAUCGGCCGGUCCUGAUUAUUUAUAUGACGGUACUGAGCAAGAGCAAGUAUGUUAGGACCCGAAAGAUGGUGAACUAUGCCUGGAUAGGG